UGCAUCGGCCGGGAAUCGAACCCGGGCCGCCCGCGUGGCACAGGCGAGCAUCUAUCUACCACUGAACCACCGAUGG
Molecule: non-coding RNA, 76 nt
Organism: Cordylochernes scorpioides
Lineage: Eukaryota; Metazoa; Arthropoda; Arachnida; Pseudoscorpiones; Chernetidae
Source: the annotation of a GenBank genome assembly